AUGGAGAUGGAGGGCCGGGGUCUGUCUGACCUGUUCAGGAACACCAGCGAGGAGAUCUUCCUCAAGGCGGUGAUGGAGAACUCGAUCGGAGUGGCGGCGCCGCCGAGCAUGGAGAUGAUGGGGUUCAGAAACAUGUCGCAGAGCUUCAGAGAAGACAGCGAGGAGUUGUUCAACAGCUGGCUCAUGAAUGGAGAGAUUCCAGGCUUUAGUCACCUGAAUAAUCGGCCUCGACAACCAUCUAGGUUGUCAUCAGAGGCAGGUGCCUUUCCUAAUCAACAACAUGACAUUGCUCGACAAAAUUUUCUCGCCGACAACUUGAUCCCUGAGAAUUGUGCAGUUCCUCCUGAAUACACGAAUAACCAUAACCAGCAACCACUCAAGAAUGCAGCAGAGAAAGGGAUGCAAGCAAGUGAUCUACUUUUGGCAAAGACCUGGUUUCACUGCACUCAACCAAUGACUAGAAGCAGAUCUUCAGAACUGAGGAGGCGAUACGCUGCAAUGCAAAGUAAUGUGUCACCAAUAACUACAGGAACUAUGAGAGCAGCAAACCAGUUGAGACUAGAUUUUACCAACACAAAUGCAGCAAAUAGUGCCCCAAUGGGCAGCACUCCACUUCAGACUUCGACAUUUGUAUCUCCUUCAUGUUCAUCGACUUCCCCCUUGGACAAUCCUCAUAUGCUUGCGCAAGAUACUGUUACAUCGGUGGUGAGCAUGCUCAAGGAUACGCUCGAACGUAAGAAGCUCAGUAGCCCUGCCAACAGAGACAUGCCACAUGGCAACCCUUUUGGGUUUUACGACAGCCAACAGUUUCAACACAACAUUCUUGGAGGAACAGAUAUGUUCCCCCUGGUGACAAAUGGACAUGUUCAGGACUCCCUGAUGCUUCCUGAAGUCGAGAGACCCACGGAACCAAACGCCGAGAACUUUGUUGCUCCCGCAAGCCAGAUUUGGAUCAGUGCAGCGUCUCAUGAACCUUCACAGAGUGGAUCGUCUAAUGCUCUGACGGCUCAAUCAGCCGGUUUUGAAGUGUGUGAUGAGCUACGUCCUAUGGGGCAAGGACUGUCUGUGUGUGAGAGCACUAGGAAAAAUGUUGCAAAUGGGACAGCUGACUGCAGAUCAAACGGCAAAGAUUACAGAGAGAAGGUACUAAAAGAUAAUUUGAAGGACGAAAGAAAGAGAGUGGCCCUGACACGAAUGGGAUCCAUCUCAUCAGAACAAGCAGUUGAUGGAGGAGAUCCUACGAAGAAACGCAGGGUUGAGCGCACACGCAAAAUGGCAGAAGCAAAGGAAAGAAGUUCCACCCCAGUAAUACCAACCGACAUGCAAGCGGUUCUCAAGCGCUGCGAAAACCUGGAGAAGGAGGUCAGGUCACUAAAGCUUAAUUUGUCAUUCAUGAACCGGAAGGAUUCAGAACAGACGAAGCAGAUCGAGGAUCUUCAGAAGCAAAACGAGGACAUGGCGGAAGAGAAGGAGAGGCUGAUAGAGGAGAUCGAACGGAUGGCCUCCGACUCCACGGCAUGA
This 1521-nucleotide ribosomal RNA is filed under the name Triticum aestivum (bread wheat). Its description in RNAcentral is "partial small subunit ribosomal RNA". The record is from RNAcentral. Lineage: Eukaryota; Viridiplantae; Streptophyta; Magnoliopsida; Poales; Poaceae.